UCUUGACUGUCUUUGAUG
RNAcentral lists this non-coding RNA (18 nucleotides) under Rattus norvegicus (Norway rat). The record is from RNAcentral. Lineage: Eukaryota; Metazoa; Chordata; Mammalia; Rodentia; Muridae.